Molecule: long non-coding RNA, 404 nt
Filed under: Medicago truncatula (barrel medic)
Lineage: Eukaryota; Viridiplantae; Streptophyta; Magnoliopsida; Fabales; Fabaceae
Description: lncRNA gene15970
Rfam family: U1 spliceosomal RNA (bases 1-161)
Source: RNAcentral
UUACUUACCUGGAUGGGGUCGAUGGGUGAUCAAGAAGGCCCAUGGCCUAGACAAGUGACCUCCAUUGCACUUAGGAGGGGUGCUAGUCUAAGGUCUACCCAAGUGGUGGAACCUACAUCAUAAUUUGUUGCAGUGGGGGCCUGCGUUCGCGCGGCCCCUUCUAUUUCUAGUUUAAAUUUUGUUUGAUUGAAUUUGUCUUAAUUUUUAAACAUCAUCAAUUUCUCAUUCUUAUAUGGGCAUCUCAUUUUCUUCAAGUGAAUAGGCUUUUUCAUCCUUAAAUUUGUACGCACUGGACAAAUUUAUCCCCUAGUUUUUCGAAAUACUCCCUCCGUCCUAAUUUAUAAGCAAAAAACACUAAUUCACACUUAUUAAGAAAACUAACACUUAGUGAUUUGAGAUAUAAU